GUUUGAAUUGCUGGUUUAUAUGGUAAGCUUAGGUUUAACCUUUUAAGAAACUGCUAAAUUGUUUCUCAAAGUUAUCUUGUCAUUUUACAUUUCUACUAGAAAU
This 103-nucleotide microRNA precursor is filed under the name Marmota monax (woodchuck). The record is from RNAcentral. Lineage: Eukaryota; Metazoa; Chordata; Mammalia; Rodentia; Sciuridae.